This 242-nucleotide ribosomal RNA is filed under the name uncultured bacterium. RNAcentral describes it as "partial 16S ribosomal RNA". It matches the Rfam family "Bacterial small subunit ribosomal RNA", at positions 524 to 765 of the family's 1533-position model. The record is from RNAcentral.
UACGGGGGGGGCAAGCGUUGUUCGGAAUUACUGGGCGUAAAGCGUGCGCAGGCGGUUUUGUAAGUUUGUCGUGAAAGCCCCGGGCUCAACCUGGGAAUUGCGAUGAAGACUGCAAGGCUUGAAUCUGGCAGAGGGGGGUAGAAUUCCACGUGUAGCAGGUGAAAUGCGUAGAGAUGUGGAGGAACACCGAUGGCGAAGGCAGCCCCCUGGGUCAAGAUUGACGCUCAUGCACGAAGCGUGGG